GGGUUGUGAGGUUAAGCGACUAAGCGUACACGGUGGAUGCCCUGGCAGUCAGAGGCGAUGAAGGACGUGCUAAUCUGCGAUAAGCGUCGGUGAGGUGAUAUGAACCGUUAUAACCGGCGAUUUCCGAAUGGGGAAACCCAGUGUGUUUCGACACACUAUCAUUAACUGAAUCCAUAGGUUAAUGAGGCGAACCGGGGGAACUGAAACAUCUAAGUACCCCGAGGAAAAGAAAUCAACCGAGAUUCCCCCAGUAGCGGCGAGCGAACGGGGAGGAGCCCAGAGCCUGAAUCAGUGUGUGUGUUAGUGGAAGCGUCUGGAAAGGCGCGCGAUACAGGGUGACAGCCCCGUACACAAAAAUGCACAUAUUGUGAGCUCGAUGAGUAGGGCGGGACACGUGGUAUCCUGUCUGAAUAUGGGGGACCAUCCUCCAAGGCUAAAUACUCCUGACUGACCGAUAGUGAACCAGUACCGUGAGGGAAAGGCGAAAAGAACCCCGGCGAGGGGAGUGAAAAAGAACCUGAAACCGUGUACGUACAAGCAGUGGGAGCCUCUUAAUGGGGUGACUGCGUACCUUUUGUAUAAUGGGUCAGCGACUUAUAUUCUGUAGCAAGGUUAACCGAAUAGGGGAGCCGAAGGGAAACCGAGUCUUAACUGGGCGUUAAGUUGCAGGGUAUAGACCCGAAACCCGGUGAUCUAGCCAUGGGCAGGUUGAAGGUUGGGUAACACUAACUGGAGGACCGAACCGACUAAUGUUGAAAAAUUAGCGGAUGACUUGUGGCUGGGGGUGAAAGGCCAAUCAAACCGGGAGAUAGCUGGUUCUCCCCGAAAGCUAUUUAGGUAGCGCCUCGUGAAUUCAUCUCCGGGGGUAGAGCACUGUUUCGGCAAGGGGGUCAUCCCGACUUACCAACCCGAUGCAAACUGCGAAUACCGGAGAAUGUUAUCACGGGAGACACACGGCGGGUGCUAACGUCCGUCGUGAAGAGGGAAACAACCCAGACCGCCAGCUAAGGUCCCAAAGUCAUGGUUAAGUGGGAAACGAUGUGGGAAGGCCCAGACAGCCAGGAUGUUGGCUUAGAAGCAGCCAUCAUUUAAAGAAAGCGUAAUAGCUCACUGGUCGAGUCGGCCUGCGCGGAAGAUGUAACGGGGCUAAACCAUGCACCGAAGCUGCGGCAGCGACACUAUGUGUUGUUGGGUAGGGGAGCGUUCUGUAAGCCUGUGAAGGUGUACUGUGAGGUAUGCUGGAGGUAUCAGAAGUGCGAAUGCUGACAUAAGUAACGAUAAAGCGGGUGAAAAGCCCGCUCGCCGGAAGACCAAGGGUUCCUGUCCAACGUUAAUCGGGGCAGGGUGAGUCGACCCCUAAGGCGAGGCCGAAAGGCGUAGUCGAUGGGAAACAGGUUAAUAUUCCUGUACUUGGUGUUACUGCGAAGGGGGACGGAGAAGGCUAUGUUGGCCGGGCGACGGUUGUCCCGGUUUAAGCGUGUAGGCUGGUUUUCCAGGCAAAUCCGGAAAAUCAAGGCUGAGGCGUGAUGACGAGGCACUACGGUGCUGAAGCGACAAAUGCCCUGCUUCCAGGAAAAGCCUCUAAGCAUCAGGUAACAUCAAAUCGUACCCCAAACCGACACAGGUGGUCAGGUAGAGAAUACCAAGGCGCUUGAGAGAACUCGGGUGAAGGAACUAGGCAAAAUGGUGCCGUAACUUCGGGAGAAGGCACGCUGAUAUGUAGGUGAAGCGACUUGCUCGUGGAGCUGAAAUCAGUCGAAGAUACCAGCUGGCUGCAACUGUUUAUUAAAAACACAGCACUGUGCAAACACGAAAGUGGACGUAUACGGUGUGACGCCUGCCCGGUGCCGGAAGGUUAAUUGAUGGGGUUAGCGGUAACGCGAAGCUCUUGAUCGAAGCCCCGGUAAACGGCGGCCGUAACUAUAACGGUCCUAAGGUAGCGAAAUUCCUUGUCGGGUAAGUUCCGACCUGCACGAAUGGCGUAAUGAUGGCCAGGCUGUCUCCACCCGAGACUCAGUGAAAUUGAACUCGCUGUGAAGAUGCAGUGUACCCGCGGCAAGACGGAAAGACCCCGUGAACCUUUACUAUAGCUUGACACUGAACAUUGAGCCUUGAUGUGUAGGAUAGGUGGGAGGCUUUGAAGUGUGGACGCCAGUCUGCAUGGAGCCGACCUUGAAAUACCACCCUUUAAUGUUUGAUGUUCUAACGUGGGCCCCUUACCGGGGUUGCGGACAGUGUCUGGUGGGUAGUUUGACUGGGGCGGUCUCCUCCUAAAGAGUAACGGAGGAGCACGAAGGUUGGCUAAUCCUGGUCGGACAUCAGGAGGUUAGUGCAAUGGCAUAAGCCAGCUUGACUGCGAGCGUGACGGCGCGAGCAGGUGCGAAAGCAGGUCAUAGUGAUCCGGUGGUUCUGAAUGGAAGGGCCAUCGCUCAACGGAUAAAAGGUACUCCGGGGAUAACAGGCUGAUACCGCCCAAGAGUUCAUAUCGACGGCGGUGUUUGGCACCUCGAUGUCGGCUCAUCACAUCCUGGGGCUGAAGUAGGUCCCAAGGGUAUGGCUGUUCGCCAUUUAAAGUGGUACGCGAGCUGGGUUUAGAACGUCGUGAGACAGUUCGGUCCCUAUCUGCCGUGGGCGCUGGAGAACUGAGGGGGGCUGCUCCUAGUACGAGAGGACCGGAGUGGACGCAUCACUGGUGUUCGGGUUGUCAUGCCAAUGGCACUGCCCGGUAGCUAAAUGCGGAAGAGAUAAGUGCUGAAAGCAUCUAAGCACGAAACUUGCCCCGAGAUGAGUUCUCCCUGACUCCUUGAGAGUCCUGAAGGAACGUUGAAGACGACGACGUUGAUAGGCCGGGUGUGUAAGCGCAGCGAUGCGUUGAGCUAACCGGUACUAAUGAACCGUGAGGCUUAACCUUACAACGCCGAAG
Molecule: ribosomal RNA, 2923 nt
Filed under: Escherichia coli
Lineage: Bacteria; Pseudomonadati; Pseudomonadota; Gammaproteobacteria; Enterobacterales; Enterobacteriaceae
Description: 23S ribosomal RNA
Rfam family: Bacterial large subunit ribosomal RNA
Source: RNAcentral